Molecule: ribosomal RNA, 2206 nt
Filed under: Listeria monocytogenes
Lineage: Bacteria; Bacillati; Bacillota; Bacilli; Caryophanales; Listeriaceae
Description: partial 23S ribosomal RNA
Rfam family: Bacterial large subunit ribosomal RNA
Source: RNAcentral
GGUGAUCUACCCAUGUCCAGGAUGAAGGUAAGGUAAUACUUACUGGAGGUCCGAACCCACGCACGUUGAAAAGUGCGGGGAUGAGGUGUGGGUAGCGGAGAAAUUCCAAUCGAACUUGGAGAUAGCUGGUUCUCUCCGAAAUAGCUUUAGGGCUAGCCUCGAGGUAAAGAGUCAUGGAGGUAGAGCACUGUUUGGACUAGGGGCCCUUCUCGGGUUACCGAAUUCAGAUAAACUCCGAAUGCCAUGUACUUAUACUCGGGAGUCAGACUGCGAGUGAUAAGAUCCGUAGUCGAAAGGGAAACAGCCCAGACCACCAGUUAAGGUCCCCAAAUAUAUGUUAAGUGGAAAAGGAUGUGGGGUUGCUUAGACAACCAGGAUGUUGGCUUAGAAGCAGCCACCAUUGAAAGAGUGCGUAAUAGCUCACUGGUCGAGUGACCCCGCGCCGAAAAUGUACCGGGGCUAAACAUAUUACCGAAACUGUGGAUGAACCUCUUUAGAGGUUCGUGGUAGGAGAGCGUUCUAAGGGCGGUGAAGUCAGACCGGAAGGACUGGUGGAGCGCUUAGAAGUGAGAAUGCCGGUAUGAGUAGCGAAAGAAGGGUGAGAAUCCCUUCCACCGAAUAUCUAAGGUUUCCUGAGGAAGGCUCGUCCGCUCAGGGUUAGUCGGGACCUAAGCCGAGGCCGAUAGGCGUAGGCGAUGGACAACAGGUAGAGAUUCCUGUACCAGUGCUAAUUGUUUAACCGAUGGGGUGACACAGAAGGAUAGGGAAUCGCACGAAUGGAAAUGUGCGUCCAAGCAGUGAGUGUGAGAAGUAGGCAAAUCCGCUUCUCGCGAAGCAUGAGCUGUGAUGGGGAAGGAAAUUAAGUACGGAAGUUCCUGAUUUCACGCUGUCAAGAAAAGCCUCUAGGAAGAGUAGUACUGCCCGUACCGCAAACCGACACAGGUAGAUGAGGAGAGAAUCCUAAGGUGAGCGAGAGAACUCUCGUUAAGGAACUCGGCAAAAUGACCCCGUAACUUCGGGAGAAGGGGUGCUCUAUUAGGGUGCAAGCCCGAGAGAGCCGCAGUGAAUAGGCCCAGGCGACUGUUUAGCAAAAACACAGGUCUCUGCAAAACCGUAAGGUGACGUAUAGGGGCUGACGCCUGCCCGGUGCUGGAAGGUUAAGAGGAGUGCUUAGCUUCGGCGAAGGUACGAAUUGAAGCCCCAGUAAACGGCGGCCGUAACUAUAACGGUCCUAAGGUAGCGAAAUUCCUUGUCGGGUAAGUUCCGACCCGCACGAAAGGCGCAACGAUCUGGGCACUGUCUCAACGAGAGACUCGGUGAAAUUAUAGUACCUGUGAAGAUGCAGGUUACCCGCGACAGGACGGAAAGACCCCGUGGAGCUUUACUGCAACCUGAUAUGGAAUGUUUGUACCGCUUGUACAGGAUAGGUAGGAGCCGAAGAGACGUGUGCGCUAGCAUACGAGGAGGCAAUGGUGGGAUACUACCCUGGCUGUAUGACCAUUCUAACCCGCCACGCUUAGCGCGUGGGGAGACAGUGUCAGGUGGGCAGUUUGACUGGGGCGGUCGCCUCCUAAAGAGUAACGGAGGCGCCCAAAGGUUCCCUCAGAAUGGAUGGAAAUCAUUCGCAGAGUGUAAAGGCACAAGGGAGCUUGACUGCGAGACUGACAAGUCGAGCAGGGACGAAAGUCGGGCUUAGUGAUCCGGUGGUUCCGCAUGGAAGGGCCAUCGCUCAACGGAUAAAAGCUACCCCGGGGAUAACAGGCUUAUCUCCCCCAAGAGUCCACAUCGACGGGGAGGUUUGGCACCUCGAUGUCGGCUCGUCGCAUCCUGGGGCUGUAGUCGGUCCCAAGGGUUGGGCUGUUCGCCCAUUAAAGCGGCACGCGAGCUGGGUUCAGAACGUCGUGAGACAGUUCGGUCCCUAUCCGUCGCGGGCGCAGGAAAUUUGAGAGGAGCUGUCCUUAGUACGAGAGGACCGGGAUGGACACACCGCUGGUGUACCAGUUGUUCCGCCAGGAGCAUCGCUGGGUAGCUAUGUGUGGCAGGGAUAAACGCUGAAAGCAUCUAAGCGUGAAGCCCCCCUCAAGAUGAGAUUUCCCAUUUCUUCGGAAAGUAAGAUCCCUGAAAGAUGAUCAGGUAGAUAGGUUUGGAGUGGAAGUGUAGCGAUACAUGGAGCGGACAAAUACUAAUCGAUCGAGGACUUAACCAA